GGGUUGUGAGGUUAAGCGACUAAGCGUACACGGUGGAUGCCCUGGCAGUCAGAGGCGAUGAAGGGCGUGCUAAUCUGCGAUAAGCGCCGGUAAGGUGAUAUGAACCGUUAUAACCGGCGAUACCCGAAUGGGGAAACCCAGUGUGAUUCGUCACACUAUCAUUAACUGAAUCCAUAGGUUAAUGAGGCGAACCGGGGGAACUGAAACAUCUAAGUACCCCGAGGAAAAGAAAUCAACCGAGAUUCCCCCAGUAGCGGCGAGCGAACGGGGAGGAGCCCAGAGCCUGAAUCAGCAUGUGUGUUAGUGGAAGCGUCUGGAAAGGCGCGCGAUACAGGGUGACAGCCCCGUACACAAAAGCGCAUGUGCUGUGAGCUCGAUGAGUAGGGCGGGACACGUGGUAUCCUGUCUGAAUAUGGGGGGACCAUCCUCCAAGGCUAAAUACUCCUGACUGACCGAUAGUGAACCAGUACCGUGAGGGAAAGGCGAAAAGAACCCCGGCGAGGGGAGUGAAAAAGAACCUGAAACCGUGUACGUACAAGCAGUGGGAGCNNNNNNNNNNNNNNNNNNNNNNNNNNNNNNNNNNNNNNNNNNNNNNNNNNNNNNNNNNNNNNNNNNNNNNGGGCGUUAAGUUGCAGGGUAUAGACCCGAAACCCGGUGAUCUAGCCAUGGGCAGGUUGAAGGUUGGGUAACACUAACUGGAGGACCGAACCGACUAAUGUUGAAAAAUUAGCGGAUGACCUGUGGCUGGGGGUGAAAGGCCAAUCAAACCGGGAGAUAGCUGGUUCUCCCCGAAAGCUAUUUAGGUAGCGCCUCGUGAAUUCAUCUCCGGGGGUAGAGCACUGUUUCGGCUAGGGGGCCAUCCCGGCUUACCAACCCGAUGCAAACUGCGAAUACCGGAGAAUGUUAUCACGGGAGACACACGGCGGGUGCUAACGUCCGUCGUGAAGAGGGAAACAACCCAGACCGCCAGCUAAGGUCCCAAAGUCAUGGUUAAGUGGGAAACGAUGUGGGAAGGCCCAGACAGCCAGGAUGUUGGCUUAGAAGCAGCCAUCAUUUAAAGAAAGCGUAAUAGCUCACUGGUCGAGUCGGCCUGCGCGGAAGAUGUAACGGGGCUAAACCAUGCACCGAAGCUGCGGCAGCGACACUGUGUGUUGUUGGGUAGGGGAGCGUUCUGUAAGCCUGUGAAGGUGUGUCGUGAGGCAUGCUGGAGGUAUCAGAAGUGCGAAUGCUGACAUAAGUAACGAUAAAGCGGGUGAAAAGCCCGCUCGCCGGAAGACCAAGGGUUCCUGUCCAACGUUAAUCGGGGCAGGGUGAGUCGACCCCUAAGGCGAGGCCGAAAGGCGUAGUCGAUGGGAAACGGGUUAAUAUUCCCGUACUUGGUGUUACUGCGAAGGGGGGACGGAGAAGGCUAUGUUGGCCGGGCGACGGUUGUCCCGGUUUAAGCGUGUAGGUGUGUGUUCCAGGUAAAUCCGGUUCACUUUAACACUGAGGCGUGACGACGAGGCACUACGGUGCUGAAGCAACAAAUGCCCUGCUUCCAGGAAAAGCCUCUAAGCAUCAGGUAACAUCAAAUCGUACCCCAAACCGACACAGGUGGUCAGGUAGAGAAUACCAAGGCGCUUGAGAGAACUCGGGUGAAGGAACUAGGCAAAAUGGUGCCGUAACUUCGGGAGAAGGCACGCUGACACGUAGGUGAAGUGAUUUACUCAUGGAGCUGAAGUCAGUCGAAGAUACCAGCUGGCUGCAACUGUUUAUUAAAAACACAGCACUGUGCAAACACGAAAGUGGACGUAUACGGUGUGACGCCUGCCCGGUGCCGGAAGGUUAAUUGAUGGGGUCAGCGCAAGCGAAGCUCCUGAUCGAAGCCCCGGUAAACGGCGGCCGUAACUAUAACGGUCCUAAGGUAGCGAAAUUCCUUGUCGGGUAAGUUCCGACCUGCACGAAUGGCGUAAUGAUGGCCAGGCUGUCUCCACCCGAGACUCAGUGAAAUUGAACUCGCUGUGAAGAUGCAGUGUACCCGCGGCAAGACGGAAAGACCCCGUGAACCUUUACUAUAGCUUGACACUGAACAUUGAGCCUUGAUGUGUAGGAUAGGUGGGAGGCUUUGAAGUGUGGACGCCAGUCUGCAUGGAGCCGACCUUGAAAUACCACCCUUUAAUGUUUGAUGUUCUAACGUGGACCCGUUACCCGGGUUGCGGACAGUGUCUGGUGGGUAGUUUGACUGGGGCGGUCUCCUCCUAAAGAGUAACGGAGGAGCACGAAGGUUGGCUAAUCCUGGUCGGACAUCAGGAGGUUAGUGCAAUGGCAUAAGCCAGCUUGACUGCGAGCGUGACGGCGCGAGCAGGUGCGAAAGCAGGUCAUAGUGAUCCGGUGGUUCUGAAUGGAAGGGCCAUCGCUCAACGGAUAAAAGGUACUCCGGGGAUAACAGGCUGAUACCGCCCAAGAGUUCAUAUCGACGGCGGUGUUUGGCACCUCGAUGUCGGCUCAUCACAUCCUGGGGCUGAAGUAGGUCCCAAGGGUAUGGCUGUUCGCCAUUUAAAGUGGUACGCGAGCUGGGUUUAGAACGUCGUGAGACAGUUCGGUCCCUAUCUGCCGUGGGCGCUGGAGAACUGAGGGGGGCUGCUCCUAGUACGAGAGGACCGGAGUGGACGCAUCACUGGUGUUCGGGUUGUCAUGCCAAUGGCACUGCCCGGUAGCUAAAUGCGGAAGAGAUAAGUGCUGAAAGCAUCUAAGCACGAAACUUGCCCCGAGAUGAGUUCUCCCUGAGACUUAGAGUCUCCUGAAGGAACGUUGAAGACGACGACGUUGAUAGGCCGGGUGUGUAAGCGCAGCGAUGCGUUGAGCUAACCGGUACUAAUGAACCGUGAGGCUUAACCUUACAACGCCGAAG
This 2890-nucleotide ribosomal RNA is filed under the name Salmonella enterica subsp. enterica serovar Enteritidis. RNAcentral describes it as "23S ribosomal RNA". It matches the Rfam family "Bacterial large subunit ribosomal RNA". Lineage: Bacteria; Pseudomonadati; Pseudomonadota; Gammaproteobacteria; Enterobacterales; Enterobacteriaceae. The record is from RNAcentral.